RNAcentral lists this ribosomal RNA (460 nucleotides) under uncultured bacterium. RNAcentral's name for it is "partial 16S ribosomal RNA". It matches the Rfam family "Bacterial small subunit ribosomal RNA", at positions 338 to 795 of the family's 1533-position model. The record is from RNAcentral.
CCUACGGGAGGCAGCAGUGAGGAAUAUUGGUCAAUGGCCGUAAGGCUGAACCAGCCAAGUCGCGUGAAGGAAGAAGGAUCUAUGGUUUGUAAACUUCUUUUAUAGGGGAAUAAAGGUAUCCACGUGUGGAUAUUUGCAUGUACCCUAUGAAUAAGCAUCGGCUAACUCCGUGCCAGCAGCCGCGGUAAUACGGAGGAUGCGAGCGUUAUCCGGAUUUAUUGGGUUUACAGGGUGCGUAGGUUGUUUUUUAAGUCAGCGGUGAAAGUUUGUGGCUCAACCAUAAAAUUGCCGUUGACAAUGGAAGACGUGAGUGUGUUUGAGGUAGGCGGAAUGCGUGGUGUAGCGGUGAAAUGCAUAGAUAUCACGCAGAACUCCGAUUGCGAAGGCAGCUUACUAAGCCAUAACUGACACUGAAGCACGAAAGCGUGGGGAUCAAACAGGAUUAGAUACCCCUGUAGUC